ACGUUCUGGAGUUUUUUUUUUUUAGUUUAAUGUUAUCACCAAGGUUAUAUAAGUCAUUGAAAAUUAAGCAAGCCUAAACUCCCACGUGAUUUAAGGAUGUCAAACGGGUCAAGCCGCUUGUCGGCUCGUCAAAAUAGGGCUCGUGAGCGGCUCGGGAUCAUAAAAUCACGAGCCCGAGCGAGCGCCGAGCGUGCCUCACCGAGAGGCGAGCGGCUCGUGGCUCGCCUAUUUUGAGUGACCAAAAUGAUCACUUUUUAAAAAAAGUUAUGGUCACAAUUUUUCAGUGACUGUUUGGGUCUCUAAUUUUUUUUAUUUAUUUUUUUCCUUCUAUUAUAAAUAUCCCAUCACUCCCCAUUUUUUUUUCAUAUUAAUUAUCUCCUCAUUCUCACUUCUCAUUUCUCAACUCUCUUUUAUAUCAAUUAUUGAGUUUUUACUCUCUUGUGCUGUUGUACAAAAUAUAUAAUAUCGAUUUAUUUUUUACAGUUUAUUCAGUUACAAUAUCAAUUUCAAUUCUCAAUUCUCACUUCAUUUAUAUUUUUACUAGUUAUUGUAUUUGGAUUUCAUCAUAAACAAUCAAACAAAUGGAUCAACGCUCAUUUGUUGAGAGCUUAUUCGAUACAGGAUGAGGGCCAUAUGGCGAAUCGGCUAGGAUUGAAUCAUAAAUGUUUCCAUUUGGUAGGUAAAAUUCAAUUGAAUCAUAAAUGACAACUGAUAAUUUUAUCGCGGUUCACUUCAAUUACCAAAAGGUCACAUUAAUUAGCUCAUAUUUUGCCCUCAUUUUUAUAAAAAAUCAUUUUGAAACAUCAUAUUGAACCACAUACCUUAUUAGAUCCACAACUUUUAUUAAUAUUUUUAGCUAUACGUUUUAUCAAUUUUUAUCAAAGUAUACGCGAAAAUCUGAUUUUUAUCCAGGCUAAAAAGUCAAGUUCUAUUCAAUCACUCAUAAAAAAGAUGUCCUCCAGACUACCUUAGUGGAAAAAUGAUUUUGAUUAAUAAAUUUUACUUUUUCUUAACUUGAAAACUUUUCAAUAUAUUAUAAAGUCGUAGUGGUUAAUCAUUGUGUAUAUUGCAUUACAAAUUGCAGCCACGUAAUUCUUCUUCUAAUCUUUUUGGGGUCAAAGGGACACUCUAAAUAACCCUAAAUACGUUUUCUAUAAUUGGUGUUGAUGAAAGGGCUGAUAGAUUAAAUUGAAAGAAAGGAAAAUUUUUGGACAAGGUCAUACUUCCUUUUAUUUUUAAAAUUUGCAAAAACAUGUUUUCUUGAGGACAAAAGAGCAAGAAAGAAGAGAAUGAAUAGAUUUUCCAAGCAACGAAUAUUUAAUAUGCUAUAUUUUUACAAUAUAGUAGAUG
This 1350-nucleotide long non-coding RNA is filed under the name Olea europaea subsp. europaea. The record is from RNAcentral. Lineage: Eukaryota; Viridiplantae; Streptophyta; Magnoliopsida; Lamiales; Oleaceae.